UACGAAGGGGGCUAGCGUUGUCCGGAAUUAUUGGGCGUAAAGCGCGCGCAGGCGGCCUCCUAAGUCCGAUGUGAAAGCCCACGGCUCAACCGUGGAGGGUCAUUGGAAACUGGGGGACUUGAGUACAGAAGAGGAAAGCGGAAUUCCACGUGUAGCGGUGAAAUGCGUAGAGAUGUGGAGGAACACCAGUGGCGAAGGCGCUUUCUGGUCUGUAACUGACGCUGAGGCGCGAAAGCGUGGGGAGCAAACAGG
This 252-nucleotide ribosomal RNA is filed under the name uncultured bacterium. RNAcentral describes it as "partial 16S ribosomal RNA". It matches the Rfam family "Bacterial small subunit ribosomal RNA", at positions 524 to 776 of the family's 1533-position model. The record is from RNAcentral.